This 780-nucleotide ribosomal RNA is filed under the name uncultured Neocallimastigales. Its description in RNAcentral is "partial large subunit ribosomal RNA". It matches the Rfam family "Eukaryotic large subunit ribosomal RNA", at positions 26 to 629 of the family's 3401-position model. Lineage: Eukaryota; Fungi; Neocallimastigomycota; Neocallimastigomycetes; Neocallimastigales. The record is from RNAcentral.
CGCAUCUGUGCAUGCAGCAUAUCAAUAAGCGGAGGAAAAGAAACUAACAAGGAUUCCCCUAGUAACGGCGAGUGAGGCGGGAAGAGCUCAAAUUUGAAAUCUUCAAGGUUUUACCUUGACGAAUUGUAGUUUAAAGAAGUGUUUUCUGUUGAAGUUUUGGUAAAAGUUCUUUGGAAUAGGACAUCAUAGAGGGUGAGAAUCCCGUAUUUGACCAUUAUUUUCAGCUGUGUGAUACACUUUCAAAGAGUCGGAUUGUUUGGGAAUGCAGUCCAAAAUGGGUGGUAAAUUUCAUCUAAAGCUAAAUAUUGGCGAGAGACCGAUAGCGAACAAGUACCGUGAGGGAAAGAUGAAAAGAACUUUGAAAAGAGAGUUAAACAGUACGUGAAAUUGUCAAAAGGGAAGCGUUUGACACCAGUGUUGUUUUUCUCGAAAAUCAAUUAAAGAAUGCUCGAUUUAUGUAAGUUGCUUUAGACCUUAUAAGCUCACUGUACAGUUUUCGUGUCUUUUUUAAUGCACUUUUCAGUUUAACAAGUCAACAUCAAUUUCUUUGUUGUAAAAGGGUCAUUGGAAGGUGGCUUUCUUUUCGGAGAAAGUGUUUAUAGCCUUUGGCCUCUGCAAUCGAAGAGACUGAGGUCUGCAGCGUAGACUCUUCGGGGUUAGAUACAUUUGUGCUAAGUUAUGAGCUUUUUAUAGACAACUUGUUGACUAUAAUUAGUCUUGUAGCUUACUCGCUUAUGCUAUUUUACCUACGCUUAGGAUGUUGAUAGUCACAGCGUGUAC